Molecule: ribosomal RNA, 253 nt
Filed under: uncultured bacterium
Lineage: Bacteria
Description: partial 16S ribosomal RNA
Rfam family: Bacterial small subunit ribosomal RNA
Source: RNAcentral
UACGAAGGGUGCAAGCGUUACUCGGAAUUACUGGGCGUAAAGCGUGCGUAGGUGGUUUCUUAAGUCUGCUGUGAAAGCCCCGGGCUCAACCUGGGAAUUGCAGUGGAUACUGGGGAGCUAGAGUGCGGUAGAGGGUAGUGGAAUUCCCGGUGUAGCGGUGAAAUGCGUAGAGAUCGGGAGGAACACCAGUGGCGAAGGCGGCUACCUGGACCAGCACUGACACUGAGGCACGAAAGCGUGGGUAGCAAACAGG